UAUAUAUAUAAAAGAUUUAUUAGGGUUGAUCCUCUCUGAAAUUGAAGGGAUAGUUUUGAAGUCCCAAAAAUUUAAAAGCUGAUUCUCCUGUCAAUUUGAGAUUUUUGGUGAAUUUUCUAGACCCUUCUUCAUCAUCUUCGAUUUGAAUAGUUUUUGGAAAAGUUGUAACUGGAUGUUGUUGUGACUUAGGUUGAUCGUGCUUCUCCCUAAUAGUGCUUUAGUUCUGGAUUGUUUUCAGCUUUGGUAGAAGAGUUUGGUAAGCUUCAUCUUAUUCCUUUUUAAAUUUUCUUCC
Molecule: long non-coding RNA, 292 nt
Filed under: Arabidopsis lyrata
Lineage: Eukaryota; Viridiplantae; Streptophyta; Magnoliopsida; Brassicales; Brassicaceae
Description: long non-coding RNA (ALYR_LNC003224)
Source: RNAcentral